CCUACGGGAGGCAGCAGUGGGGAAUAUUGGACAAUGGGCGCAAGCCUGAUCCAGCCAUACCGCGUGGGUGAAGAAGGCCUUCGGGUUGUAAAGCCCUUUUGUUGGGAAAGAAAAGCAUUCGGCUAAUACCCGGUUGUUCUGACGGUACCCAAAGAAUAAGCACCGGCUAACUUCGUGCCAGCAGCCGCGGUAAUA
This 195-nucleotide ribosomal RNA is filed under the name uncultured marine bacterium OT1. Its description in RNAcentral is "partial 16S rRNA". It matches the Rfam family "Bacterial small subunit ribosomal RNA", at positions 338 to 525 of the family's 1533-position model. The record is from RNAcentral.